GAUGAACGCUGGCGGCGUGCCUAAUACAUGCCAGUCGAGCGAACAGACGAGGAGCUUGCUCCUCUGACGUUAGCGGCGGACGGGUGAGUAACACGUGGAUAACCUACCUAUAAGACUGGGAUAACUUCGGGAAACCGGAACUAAUACCGGAUAAUAUAUUGAACCGCAUGGUUCAAUAGUGAAAGACGGUUUUGCUGUCACUUAUAGAUGGAUCCGCGCCGCAUUAGCUAGUUGGUAAGGUAACGGCUUACCAAGGCAACGAUGCGUAGCCGACCUGAGAGGGUGAUCGGCCACACUGGAACUGAGACACGGUCCAGACUCCUACGGGAGGCAGCAGUAGGGAAUCUUCCGCAAUGGGCGAAAGCCUGACGGAGCAACGCCGCGUGAGUGAUGAAGGUCUUCGGAUCGUAAAACUCUGUUAUUAGGGAAGAACAAAUGUGUAAGUAACUAUGCACGUCUUGACGGUACCUAAUCAGAAAGCCACGGCUAACUACGUG
RNAcentral lists this ribosomal RNA (497 nucleotides) under uncultured bacterium. RNAcentral's name for it is "partial 16S ribosomal RNA". It matches the Rfam family "Bacterial small subunit ribosomal RNA", at positions 28 to 507 of the family's 1533-position model. The record is from RNAcentral.